UCUUGCCACUGCACUCCAGGCAGCCUGGGUGACAGUGUGAAGCAAUGUCCCAAAUAAACAAACUAAAAAAGGCUUUCUUCUGUAAUAGUGUGACUAUUUGUCCCUGUCUAGAGCUUUAAAAUUAAGGGAAUGGAGUCAUUACAAAGGUCGUUGCUUCAAAUAGUUUUGUUUUUGUUUUUAUUUUGAGAUGGAGUGUUGCUCUGUCACCCAGGUUGGGGUGCAGUGGCACAAUCAUAGCUCACUGCCACCUCAAAUUCCUAGGCUCAAGGGAUCCUCCCACCUCAGCCUCCUGAGUAGCUGGGACUACACGCCUGUGCCACCAUACCCAGGAUUCAAGAGUCAUCCCACAGGGGUGUGCCGGGAAAAGGGUGGUGAAAGGCCAGGCUGGAGUGCCGGUCCCCGUGGAAAGGCCCCACAGCCGAGGAUCAGCCCUACUGCUACCUGGACUAAGAUCUUGUCCACACGUGUUAAGUGCACUUGGAGUACUACCGGGAACAUCGCCCUUGGGAAUGCCUUGGCAUGUAAUAGUUUGAAGCGAGUAAAAACUCACAGCUAGCUAUACGCUGUAGGUUAUUUCAAAGAAAAUCAUAUAGACAGAUAAAGCAUAUGUGGCAAAUUUUUGCCAAUUGGUCAAUUUGGGUAAAGACUAUAUGGGAGUUUUGUUUGUUUUGUUUGAGACAGAGUCUCGCUCUGUCGGCCAGGCUGGAGUGCAGUGGUGUGGUCUCGGCUCACCGCAACCUCCGCCUCCUGGGUUUCAGCAAUUCUCCUGCCUCAGCCUCCAGAGUAGCUGGGAUUACAGGCGCAUGCCACCACACCCAGCUAAUUUUUUGUAUUUUUAGUAGAGAUGGGGUUUCACCAUGUUGGCCAGGCUAGUCUCGAACUCCUGACCUCAGGUGAUCCAUCUGCCUCAGCCUCCCAAAGUGCUGGGAUGACAGGCAUGAGCCACCGCACCCGGCCUGAGUAUAUGGGAGUUAUUUGUACAAAUCUUCUGCCUCAUAUGUAAGUUUGAAAUAAUCUCAAAAAGCUGAAGAAAAAAAAGUAAAUAUCUGAAUUUGAGCACAUCCAUUUUUACAUAAACCAUCAGCCUGUUAGUGCUUUUGGAUGGAGGAAGAGUAUGGGUGCUUAGACUCUGCUGAAGGACGCUGUCCUUUUUGGAAAAUACAACAAGUGAAUGAAGUCUAGCCCAUCCAAGUGCCAUUCCCUGGAACGCUGUGUUCUCACCCAGGCUCUGCUGGUUGGAAGCUGUGUGACCUUGGGUGAGAAAUCUAACCUCUCUGAACCUCGGUGUGCUCAGCUGUGAAAUUAAAGUAACAUACCCUUUGUCAUCGCUCGUAAUGUUAAGGAAGAUUAAAUGAGAUCAUCAAGGAGUAAUUUGCAUAUUGUAAGAAACAAAAGAUUAAGAAGGGAGGUAGAAAAACAAAGGUUAACAAAAUUGCUUACCAAAAACAGGUCCCGGAUAAAGAACUUGGCUCUUGUAACUUUGGGAUCUUCUCCUGCAUCUGGUGUUGCUGUAGAAAUGACAAAUGGAACUUUAUUUAAGCAACAUGAAACAAAGAUACAACUCUACGAAAACACAGAAGGAAUUUCAACGUUAGACUGCUGUAUAUUCCCAGCAUUAAAAUACAUGUACAGCAAGGCAAAAA
Molecule: long non-coding RNA, 1643 nt
Organism: Homo sapiens (human)
Lineage: Eukaryota; Metazoa; Chordata; Mammalia; Primates; Hominidae
Exons: 2
Source: RefSeq, a predicted model, not a curated record